Molecule: non-coding RNA, 73 nt
Organism: Cordylochernes scorpioides
Lineage: Eukaryota; Metazoa; Arthropoda; Arachnida; Pseudoscorpiones; Chernetidae
Source: the annotation of a GenBank genome assembly
GUCCAGGGGCGGGAAUCGAACCCAUAACCUUCCGCUUACCGGGCAGAUGCCAUGUCCACUAGGCUACCCUGGA